CGCCCGCGCGCCAAUGAGUUCACUUUCUUUCUCUCCCCCGCGCUCCCCCUCUCCCCGCCCGCCGGCCCCUCCAGCCUCCUCCAAGGCGGCGGACCAGGCCGGGCCGGAGUUUUCGGGGUUCAGCCCGCGAGCGGGAGGACCGGGGAGGCGAGGGAGGAGGAAGGCGAGAAGGGCCAGAUCGCGGGAGAGCCCAAUCACGGGGCGAGCUGGACCUGGCUGUGAUCAUUUAUAAUCCUUGACUCCUCCGCUCCGCCACUUGUCAAGAUGACAGGGGUCAUCCGUGAAUAACACUUCACGCUGAUGAAUGGCUCUUGCCGGCUUUCGGCUCUGAUGAGGGGUCUGCCCGCCGCCGAUUGAAAACACUAAUGAACUUACUGCGCCAUUUGAAAUUCACACGCACCAACAAAAUGGGGGGUGGGCAUUUCAGGUCAGCUGAGUCACCCGAGGAGGUGGCAGUGCAAGACACUGCCGGGAAGACGGAUUCCGAGGCAGAAGGGUGUAAUUAAGGAUUUCCACCCCCGGUAGGCGGCCCGUCCUUUGCAGAGCCUCUGAAAAUGACCCGCGCCUUCCUUUCCACAGUGUUCUUUCGUCCGAGACCGAAAAGCGCAAAUGACCUUUGGACAGGGAAGGGAGGCAGUAAACACUCAGACUUCCUUACCAGCCCCUGGUGGGCACUGCAGCAGAACAAUUGUCUGCCCCCCAGGUUCAAGCACCUAGGCCUCCGCCCCGCAUCACCUGGCCAGGGGCGGACCCGGGAGUCCUCCGAAGGCUCCACUCCCCACUUUUACUACUCUUCUUUCCUCUCCAUUCUCCCCUCAGAUUAGCGGCCGGACACUGUCCCUGCCUCGAUUUUGUUUGCUGUGGGAGGGAAAAAAAAAGUUUGCUGCUCCUCCCAAGACACUGGCCACUUUCUACUCACUGAAGUUCCCACCGCAGCGCUGGCUCCCGGCUCCCUAGCUCCCGCCCCCUGUCUGCAGGAAAGCCCUCCCCCGGAGCUUCCGAAACUGCUGGAGGUUCCAGAGUUUUGUAGCUCCGAAUGGGCGACCUGAGCCGAACCGCUCUCUGGCUGGGUGGUCGGCGGGAUCCUUCAGGCUCCUUUCGGGUCCGGGACGGGGCGGCGGCAGAGGUGGGGCGUGCGUGCUUGGGGCUGCCGAGUGAGUGCGGCUCCCUGGUGCGCGCCCGAGCAUCUCCCCGCCCUCUCCUGGGACCAGCAGUCUGCCCGUGGAGGGCUAGGAGCCCGCGACCAGGCCUGCCCCGGCCGUCGCCAACCUGUCCUUGGAAGCGUGGCGGAGACUGGUGCGCUCUCAGCCUCGUCGCGCCAGCCGCCUCGCGCCACCCUCCACUUUCAGCUUCAGAGCAGAGGAUUCCGCCGACCUCCACCUGUACCUGUACUCGGCCGUUAGGAAAUCCACUUGCAUUUUUAACUACCGUGCAGAACCAGAAACAGAUCGAGCACUGGGAGAACAAGGACGACGCCUCCUAGGAAAGCCUGAACCUUUAUGUUAGUUUAUCCAAAGUUUGGGCUAGAAGUGAGGAGAAUCCCUAAACUCGAGGUGGUGUGCCCAGACCCACAGCCCGUGUUCCCGAAGUUGCUAAGUGCCCGAGCGCAGCGCGUUAAGUAGAGAAGUCUUGGUAGUAAGCGAACCCGACCCGGCUCUCGGGGCGCUAGUGACGGAAAGCAGCACGCAUAUCUUUGCGGGAAGAAUCUAGAGUCGCCCUGGGAUAGAUCCAUCUCCUUCUGCCACUGAAUUUCACACUUGAAAAAGAUAAGGUCAUGGGGGCGGAUGAAUGAUAUCCCUCACUCAUUUAGCCAUUCUUAUUAUUAUAUAAAAAAAAGGCUUGUCAAUUAUGAAGGUGUGUCCCAGAUAUUACAUGAAGAUCAUGCAAACUACUUGAAAUUUGAAUCCGGACAUGAUCGUAAGGAAACUCUUUCAUAAAGCACUUUUGUGGCCUAGUUCCCACACACACACAAAAGUAUUAGGUCUUUAAAACUUUUCCAAGUAGUAAGUGAGACUCCCUCUUACUGUCUACGAAUACACAAUAAAGAGAUGAGACACUGCCCCAAUCCUAAAGAGGCCAGAACUGAAGUGCUACAUUGUGUGAGUUAGGGGAUGCUUCUUUUUUCCAGCUCUUUUUUCUAGAAUCCUCAUUACAGCUAACGCUGGUAAUAAAGGUAGGAAAACAAUAGAACUCAUAAAACUUAGAAAUGGUAAUAAAUCUUGGCUCCUGUCUCUAGCCCAGUUCCUUCUUACAUGAGAUUCAAAGUUUUUCAGUAUGCAAUGCUGAACGUUCACACUAUGGUUGCAAAAUAGAAAAAAAUACUCUAGAACUCAUUAAUACGGCCCUGCGCACUCUAUGCCAGGCGUCGCUGGUGGACAAAGCGCGCAGGGGUCCUCCUCUACGUCUGCCUGCGCCUGUAAUCCAGGCAGCUUACGUGUGUUAAAUUUGGGUCUCUCUCUGUCUCUCACACAAAGAAGUUCCAUCAUUUGAGGCCGUUAGGAAAAGCUGAUGUUGUGCAGUGCCAAACUACCACACGCUUCCUCCUUCGGAUGAAUCCCUGGAAAGCAGAGAGGCAGCUCGCUACGUGACCAUCAUGCUUUUUACCUCACUGAGCUGUUGUCAAGAGAGGGCGGGGAUGGCGGGCAGCUCACGUCGUGCCCUCCGCAGCAAUAAAAACUGGAGCGGGAGAAGAAAUGCAAGACAUCGCUGUCUGUUUUGCAAGCCUCUGGCCGCUCUCAGCAAACUCUGCCCGGCGCGGCUGGUGACUUUGCGGUGUGAACGCAGCCGGUCGUGCUCGGGAUAAUGGGACCGAGCUGGCGGCAUCGCCCUCCCGUGGGCCCCUCUUGCCACACAGAUGCGCAGCUCUCCAAAAGGAAAAUGUGGCCCAGCAACCCUCGCCUAGCCCUAGUCCUAGGAAUGCAUGCCUGGGGCCUUUGGAAGCCUCUCAAAGGGCUGGGGGGCGGGGGGGAGGGAUAUAAUGGGCCGAACCUCUGGAUUCAUUUUGGGGAAGAGGAGACAGGUUCUUGCCCCACUACUGAGGCAAGGCCAACAGCACCCUGCCCUGCUGCUCCACCGCCUCCCCGCGGGUCAAGUCUCAGCCGAGUGUCGCUGCCCACCUGAAGGUGACACCUGUCCAUUUUAGUCAGCAUCACAUGCGCCUUCCCUUUCUCCCCUUUGGGGUCUGUCCGUUUUCUCCUCCUGUCCUAAAGAGCCAGCUUGGAACUGAAGGGGCCGGGUAGCAGCUGUUUGUGCCUCUUGCCCGUGCAGACUCGAGGGUCUCCGCAGCCACUUCCUCCUUUAACACGCGAGGCUUUCAGGCGUGCAGAAGGGGACCGCCGGGUCAGGCAGGUAUUAGGCUCUCCAAGGACACUUGUGGACAUCACUGGAGUUUACCUAUUGUUUGGACUUUAUUACAUCUGCUUUAGCAAACGGAGGCAUGAGCGGCCUGUCUGCUGGGUUCAAACCCAGUUGCUGCCCCGGCUGCAACCUCUCCCACUCAAGAGACCCUAGGAACGAUGAGGAACGGGGUAGAAAUGACCAGGGGAGCCAAAUCUCAGGUACCGAGACCUUCCAGCUCACCCCUCAGGCUCAGGAAAGCCAAUAACCCACAUAUGCCCAAAAGGAGCUUAUGUCUCAACUGAGAACAGCAAAUAGGUGAUGGGCCACUUUAGAACAGAGGCUAAAGGCUGGUAGCCACUGAGCAAAACCCAAAUUCUAGGCACCUGAGGUGUUUCCCUUACACAAGUGCCUUCACAGGUAGCAAGCAAUUAAUCUGCAACAGUGAACAACACUAAAACUUAAAUUUUACAUGGAAGUCUCUCAAGUAGACAAAGUUAUUAUUGGGUGGGGUUUUCCCCCCACUGGCAAAAAAAUAACUUAUCCCUUGGCUGUUAGAUUGAGGGAACUAUAAAACAAAUAUUUUAAUUCGAUCACUGACAAAGUCAUAAAAUUCAAUGACUGUUUGUAGAGGAAAACAUGCUUUCAUUAUCUUAAUUAAAGCAAGAUAAGCCUCUCUCAAUGUGCAUGCAUUUUGGAGCCACUGAAUGGACUGGUGAUGAGACGAAGCAACCUUUAAUUGGGACCAUGCUUCUCCAGUACAUUCGUUUGUAUUCCAUGGUGUAAACCGGGCCUUACGCGUGGCUCCGACCUUCGGUGGAAAUGCAUUUGCGUAGCACCACCCAGGGGCUCCCUUGCUUUGGCUAGAGCCUCAUAAAAGACCCCAGGUUUUGCGAAGGAUUUUGAACACCAGCGUCUUUUAACAUGUGGAACUUUCGGUUUUGGUUUAGCUCUGUGAACGUAUUUAAAACUUGCUACAUUAUUCCACAGUGAAAGUUGGAACCUUUUUAAGAGUUAUCAUAGAGUGCCUUUUAACAUCUGUCAUAUUUUCUAUAAACAACUUUUCAGUGAGAAGCGUAUAUAGUGUACUCGAGGUAGGCAUUAGCUGCUGGCAAGGUUUAUGAUACAAUAGUGACACUACAGGACAAUUUUUUAGUCAAACAACACCCGUUAGAUAUUUCAGGGUCCAGCUUAUAUGUUAACUUGUAAAUAUAGGUUAAAAAUAUAGGUAUCAAGUGACUAAAUUCAGUAUCAGACAAAUUGAACAUCUUUUUAUUUCCCAGAAGUGCCCUACUCUUUCUCCUCCCUUUGGUGACCUCUUAGUCUGGAAUGCUCUGCAUCCGGGGCCCCUGGAACACAUAGUUUUUAAAGUACCUAUUAGUGAUACUCUCCUCCCGUUGGCAGUGCUUCCACUGUGUUUUCUGCAUGUAAUAAAGGAUGGCACUGUUUUUUGCAUAGGUCUUUCCUAAUAGCUGAGCACUCUUGGAGUGUAGGGGCUCAACCUUAUGCCUCUUUGGACACACAAGCCUAGCCCAUGGGCUGGCAUAUAGGAGCUGCUCAAUAAAUGUUUGUUGAACGAAUGAGUGGAUACACGAAUAAAAUAUUUUCAUUGUCUUUAGCCCCUCUGACUUUCUUUUUUAAACAGGGGUAUGUCAUAAAUAAAAUUUACCUUGAAAAUGCAUUUAAGUACACUGUUCUACUUCUCUGACCAUGAAGUUUUUAAUGGGACAUCGUUUUAAAAUUCUGGUCAUUACAACGAACCACUUUUGACCUUGGUUGACUUUUCUCAGAAUCAUAAUGCGAAGUAAAGACAAAAACAAUGAGAAAAGGCAAAGAGAUCAAAUUUUGGUUUUCUCUUUUUCAGUAGGAUAUGAUGUUUAUCGAAAUUUGGAAACAAAUUGUAGCAAGCACCUAUAACAUGUAGAUACUCAUGUUUUUAUAUUAAAUAUGACAUUAUUUAUAAAAAAAAA
Molecule: long non-coding RNA, 5306 nt
Filed under: Homo sapiens (human)
Lineage: Eukaryota; Metazoa; Chordata; Mammalia; Primates; Hominidae
Description: TENM3 antisense RNA 1, transcript variant 1 (TENM3-AS1)
Source: RNAcentral